UACGGAGGGGGUUAGCGUUGUUCGGAAUUACUGGGCGUAAAGCGCACGUAGGCGGAUUGGAAAGUAUGGGGUGAAAUCCCAGGGCUCAACCCUGGAACUGCCUCAUAAACUUCCAGUCUAGAGUUCGAGAGAGGUGAGUGGAAUUCCGAGUGUAGAGGUGAAAUUCGUAGAUAUUCGGAGGAACACCAGUGGCGAAGGCGGCUCACUGGCUCGAUACUGACGCUGAGGUGCGAAAGUGUGGGGAGCAAACAGG
RNAcentral lists this ribosomal RNA (253 nucleotides) under uncultured prokaryote. RNAcentral's name for it is "partial 16S ribosomal RNA". It matches the Rfam family "Bacterial small subunit ribosomal RNA", at positions 524 to 776 of the family's 1533-position model. The record is from RNAcentral.